Molecule: ribosomal RNA, 387 nt
Filed under: uncultured organism
Description: bacterial SSU rRNA
Rfam family: Bacterial small subunit ribosomal RNA
Source: RNAcentral
CGGAGGGUGCGAGCGUUGUCCGGAAUCACUGGGCGUAAAGGGCGCGUAGGUGGCUUCUCAAGCGCGCGGUGAAAGCCCGGGGCUCAACCCCGGGUCGGCCGUGCGGACUGGGAGGCUCGAGCACUGUAGGGGCGGGUGGAAUUCCGGGUGUAGCGGUGGAAUGCGUAGAGAUCCGGAAGAACACCGGUGGCGAAGGCGGCCCGCUGGGCAGGAAGGCUCGCAAGAGCCGGCUGACACUGAGGCGCGACAGCGUGGGAGCAAACAGGAUUAGAUACCCUGGUAGUCCACGCCGUAAACGAUGGGCACUAGGUGCUUGGGGGAGCGUCCCCCCGGGUGCCGGCGCUAACGCAUUAAGUGCCCCGCCUGGGGAGUACGGCCGCAAGGCUG